This 785-nucleotide long non-coding RNA is filed under the name Mytilus galloprovincialis (Mediterranean mussel). The record is from RNAcentral. Lineage: Eukaryota; Metazoa; Mollusca; Bivalvia; Mytilida; Mytilidae.
AAAAAAAUAAAAGGUCUAAGAGACAUAGCGGGGGCAUUAUAGUUUAUAUAAAAAAAAACAAAUAUAUCCAGGAAUAGAAUAUCUAAAGGAUGGCUCUCAGUCACCAAAUAGAAUGUGGCUUAAACUGAAUAAAACAUUUUUUGGGACAGGAACACAUAUCUAUCUCUGUGCGGUGUACAUCCCCCCAUUAAAUUCAACACACACUGCAGAUGAUUUACUUAAUUUAGAGGCUGAGAUAGCAAAUUAUUCAAAAUAUGGGGAUAUAGCCCUAAUUGGGGACUUUAAUGCCAGAACUGGGGAACAAGCUGACUACAUUGAAAAUGAAAAUAAUAGUAUCCAAUUUUUACAGGAUAUGUUACCCCAAGACUAUGAUCUAGAUUCUCCUAUUAAAAGAAAUAAUUUAGAUAUUUUAAACCAACAAGGUAAUAAUUUACUGAACAUGUGUUUAUCCUCAAGACUUAGGAUCUUAAAUGGUAGAUAUUUAGGAGAUUCGUUGGGUUAUCACACAUAUUUUUCUAAAAAUGGCUGUAGCACAGUUGACUAUGCAAUAUUGAGCAAGGAUCUCCUGCCCUCAGUAGAAUAUUUUUGUACCUCUGAUCUGAAUUUUUUAUCGGACCAUGUACAGAUCUCAUUUAAACUAAAAUGUGAUAUAAAACAAUAUAUAAAUAAAAAGGACUUUAAUAAUAAUAAUAUGAAAAAAUUCACAACAUACAGAUGGACUGAUGUGUCACAUGGUAAGAUGUAUGAAGCAUUAAACUCUGAUGAAGUGAAAAAUAAGAUUUUAA